AACGAACGCUGGCGGCAUGCCUAACACAUGCAAGUCGAACGAGACCUUCGGGUCUAGUGGCGCACGGGUGCGUAACGCGUGGGAACCUGCCCUUAGGUUCGGAAUAACUCCCCGAAAGGGGUGCUAAUACCGGAUAAUGUCUUCGGACCAAAGAUUUAUCGCCUUUGGAUGGGCCCGCGUUGGAUUAGCUAGUUGGUAGGGUAAAAGCCUACCACGGCGACGAUCCAUAGCUGGUCUGAGAGGAUGAUCAGCCACACUGGGACUGAGACACGGCCCAGACUCCUACGGGAGGCAGCAGUGGGGAAUAUUGGACAAUGGGCGAAAGCCUGAUCCAGCAAUGCCGCGUAAGUGAUGAAGGCCUUAGGGUUGUAAAGCUCUUUUACCCGGGAUGAUAAUGACAGUACCGGGAGAAUAAGCUCCGGCUAACUCCGUG
Molecule: ribosomal RNA, 433 nt
Filed under: uncultured bacterium
Lineage: Bacteria
Description: partial 16S ribosomal RNA
Rfam family: Bacterial small subunit ribosomal RNA
Source: RNAcentral